ACAAGUAGUCAGAGCCCGUUAAUGGGUGAUGGCGUGCCUUUUGUAGAAUGAACCGGCGAGUUACGAUUUGAUGCAAGGUUAAGCAGUAAAUGUGGAGCCGUAGCGAAAGCGAGUCUGAAUAGGGCGUUUAGUAUUUGGUCGUAGACCCGAAACCAGGUGAUCUACCCUUGGUCAGGUUGAAGUUCAGGUAACACUGAAUGGAGGACCGAACCGACUUACGUUGAAAAGUGAGCGGAUGAACUGAGGGUAGCGGAGAAAUUCCAAUCGAACCUGGAGAUAGCUGGUUCUCUCCGAAAUAGCUUUAGGGCUAGCCUCAAGUGAUGAUUAUUGGAGGUAGAGCACUGUUUGGACGAGGGGCCCCUCUCGGGUUACCGAAUUCAGACAAACUCCGAAUGCCAAUUAAUUUAACUUGGGAGUCAGAACAUGGGUGAUAAGGUCCGUGUUCGAAAGGGAAACAGCCCAGACCACCAGCUAAGGUCCCAAAAUAUAUGUUAAGUGGAAAAGGAUGUGGCGUUGCCCAGACAACUAGGAUGUUGGCUUAGAAGCAGCCAUCAUUUAAAGAGUGCGUAAUAGCUCACUAGUCGAGUGACACUGCGCCGAAAAUGUACCGGGGCUAAACAUAUUACCGAAGCUGUGGAUUGUCCUUUGGACAAUGGUAGGAGAGCGUUCUAAGGGCGUUGAAGCAUGAUCGUAAGGACAUGUGGAGCGCUUAGAAGUGAGAAUGC
Molecule: ribosomal RNA, 725 nt
Filed under: Staphylococcus aureus
Lineage: Bacteria; Bacillati; Bacillota; Bacilli; Caryophanales; Staphylococcaceae
Description: partial 23S ribosomal RNA
Rfam family: Bacterial large subunit ribosomal RNA
Source: RNAcentral